UUUGGGUUUAGAAUUUAGUCAUUAGGGUUUAGGGUUUAGUAUGUAUAAGUUUGCAGUUGUGGUUGAGAUCAUCAUUAAUUAAUUCAAUGUAAUUUGAUAAAUGAUGUUUUUGACAUCAUAGUGUAUGUGUUUCUUGAGGUCUUUCAAUCUUCUAUCGAGUUUGUCUAGCCUUUUUGUUAUCAUUUCAGGUACGGAGUAUGUAGAAUAGUGAAAAACAGGAUGCAUGAAGAAAUAUGCCAUUUUGGAGUGUUUC
Molecule: long non-coding RNA, 253 nt
Filed under: Brassica napus (rape)
Lineage: Eukaryota; Viridiplantae; Streptophyta; Magnoliopsida; Brassicales; Brassicaceae
Description: long non-coding RNA (BNAP_LNC019453)
Source: RNAcentral